UAUUUGCUUGUGUGCUUGUCUAUGUUUUAAACCACAGAAAAUUCUACUUCUCUCAAGACGCAUCUGCUUGCUGCAAAUAUUUGCCCAAUGACCACACCAUGUGUAUUGGACUUAAAACUAUUAUUACAAAAAAGCAUUUAUUUGAUUUAAGCUGUCAAAGGCCCCUGAAUUGAGGUUUGUAGUGCAAGUCCUCAAAUUAGAGAGACGUUUUGCCCCAAAUAUAUUAUUUGGAUCCUAUUAUCAAAAAUACUUCCCAAAAGCACAAAAUUAUUAUUUUA
Molecule: long non-coding RNA, 278 nt
Filed under: Hordeum vulgare
Lineage: Eukaryota; Viridiplantae; Streptophyta; Magnoliopsida; Poales; Poaceae
Description: long non-coding RNA (HVUL_LNC019021)
Source: RNAcentral